This 497-nucleotide ribosomal RNA is filed under the name uncultured bacterium. RNAcentral describes it as "partial 16S ribosomal RNA". It matches the Rfam family "Bacterial small subunit ribosomal RNA", at positions 28 to 507 of the family's 1533-position model. The record is from RNAcentral.
GAUGAACGCUGGCGGCGUGCCUAAUACAUGCAAGUCGAGCGAACAGACGAGGAGCUUUCUCCUCUGACGUUAGCGGCGGACGGGAGAUUAACACGUGGAUAACCUACCUAUAAGACUGGGAUAACUUCGGGAAACCGGAGCUAAUACCGGAUAAUAUAUUGAACCUCAUUGUUCAAUAGUGAAAGACGGUUUUGCUGUCACUUAUAGAUGGAUCCGCGCCGCAUUAGCUAGUUGUUAAGGUAACGGCUUACCAAGGCAACGAUGCGUAGCCGACCCGAGAGGGUGAUCCGCCACACUGGCACUGAGACACGGCCCAGACUCCUACGGGAGGCAGCAGCAGGGAAUCUUCCGCAAUGGGCGAAAGCCUGACGGAGCAACGCCGCGUGAGUGAUGAAGGUCCUCGGAUCGUAAAACUCUGUUAUUAGUGAAGAACAAAUGUGUAAGUAACUAUGCACGUCUUGACGGUACCUGAUCAAAAAGCCCCGGCUAACUACGUG